This 460-nucleotide ribosomal RNA is filed under the name uncultured bacterium. Its description in RNAcentral is "partial 16S ribosomal RNA". It matches the Rfam family "Bacterial small subunit ribosomal RNA", at positions 338 to 795 of the family's 1533-position model. The record is from RNAcentral.
CCUACGGGGGGCAGCAGUGAGGAAUAUUGGUCAAUGGACGAGAGUCUGAACCAGCCAAGUAGCGUGAAGGAUGACUGCCCUAUGGGUUGUAAACUUCUUUUAUAAAGGAAUAAAACGAGGCACGUGUGCCUGUUUGCAUGUACUUUAUGAAUAAGGAUCGGCUAACUCCGUGCCAGCAGCCGCGGUAAUACGGAGGAUCCGAGCGUUAUCCGGAUUUCUUGGGUUUAAAGGGUGCGUAGGUUGUUUUUUAAGUCAGCGGUGAAAGUUUGUGGCUCAACCAUCAAACUGCCGUUGAAACUGGAAGUCUUGAGUGUGAUUGAGGUAGGCGGAAUGCGUGGUGUAGCGGUGAAAUGCAUAGAUAUCGCGCAGAACUCCGAUUGCGAAGGCAGCUUACUAAGCCAUAACUGACACUGAAGCACGAAAGCGUGGGGAUCAAACAGGAUUAGAUACCCUUGUAGUC